CCUACGGGUGGCAGCAGUGAGGAAUAUUGGUCAAUGGACGAGAGUCUGAACCAGCCAAGUCGCGUGAAGGAUGACUGCCCUAUGGGUUGUAAACUUCUUUUAUAAAGGAAUAAAACGAGGCACGUGUGCCUUUUUGCAUGUACUUUAUGAAUAAGGAUCGGCUAACUCCGUGCCAGCAGCCGCGGUAAUACGGAGGAUCCGAGCGUUAUCCGGAUUUAUUGGGUUUAAAGGGAGCGUAGAUGGGUUGUUAAGUCAGUUGUGAAAGUUUGCGGCUCAACCGUAAAAUUGCAAUUGAUACUGGCAGUCUUGAGUACAGUUGAGGUAAGCGGAAUGCGUGGUGUAGCGGUGAAAUGCUUAGAUAUCACGAAGAACCCCGAUUGCGAAGGCAGCUUACUAAACUGUGACUGACAUUGAUGCUCGAAAGUGUGGGGAUCAAACAGGAUUAGAUACCCCAGUAGUC
Molecule: ribosomal RNA, 460 nt
Filed under: uncultured bacterium
Lineage: Bacteria
Description: partial 16S ribosomal RNA
Rfam family: Bacterial small subunit ribosomal RNA
Source: RNAcentral